GAAAUGCGAUAAGUAGUGUGAAUUGCAGAAUUCAGUGAAUCAUCGAAUCUUUGAACGCACAUUGCGCCCCUUGGUAUUCCAUGGGGCAUGCCUGUUCGAGCGUCAUUUGUACCUUCAAGCUUUGCUUGGUGUUGGGUGUUUGUCUCGCCUCUGCGCGCAGACUCGCCUCAAAACAAUUGGCAGCCGGCGUAUUGAUUUCGGAGCGCAGUACAUCUCGCGCUUUGCACUCAUAACGACGACGUCCAAAAAGUACAUUUUUUACACUCUUGACCUCGGAUCAGGUAGGGCUACCCGCUGAACUUAAGC
This 306-nucleotide unclassified non-coding RNA is filed under the name plant metagenome. Its description in RNAcentral is "partial contains 5.8S ribosomal RNA, internal transcribed spacer 2, and large subunit ribosomal RNA". The stretch from base 1 to 105 matches the Rfam family "5.8S ribosomal RNA", at positions 50 to 154 of the family's 154-position model. The record is from RNAcentral.